Unclassified non-coding RNA from Callithrix jacchus (white-tufted-ear marmoset), 116 nucleotides. It matches the Rfam family "Metazoan signal recognition particle RNA". Rfam says of the family: The signal recognition particle (SRP) is a universally conserved ribonucleoprotein. It is involved in the co-translational targeting of proteins to membranes. The record is from Ensembl. NCBI's taxonomy places the organism in Eukaryota, Metazoa, Chordata, Mammalia, Primates, Cebidae.
GCCAGGCGUGGUGGCUCACGCCUGUAAUCCAAGCACUUUGGAGGUCAAGGUGGGUGGAUCACCUGAGGUCGGGAGUUCAAGACCAGCCUGACCAACAUGGUGAAACCCCGUCUUUA